GUGCCAGCAGCCGCGGUAAUACGUAGGUGACGAGCGUUGUCCGGAAUUAUUGGGCGUAAAGGGAGCGCAGGCGGUUAGAAUAGUCUGAUGUGAAAGCCCACGGCUUAACCGUGGAAGGUCAUUGGAAACUGUCCAACUUGAAUGCAGAAGAGGAAAGUGGAAUUCCAUGUGUAGCGGUGAAAUGCGUAGAUAUAUGGAGGAACACCAGUGGCGAAGGCGACUUUCUGGUCUGUAAUUGACGCUGAGGCUCGAAAGCGUGGGUAGCGAACAGGAUUAGAUACCCUGGUAGUCC
Molecule: ribosomal RNA, 292 nt
Filed under: uncultured microorganism
Description: partial 16S ribosomal RNA
Rfam family: Bacterial small subunit ribosomal RNA
Source: RNAcentral